UGCCCCAGUAACGGCGAGUGAAGCGGCAAGAGCUCAAAUUUGAAAUCUGGCCCCUCCGGGGUCCGAGUUGUAAUUUGCAGAGGAUGCUUCGGGUGCGGCCCCGGUCUAAGUCCCCUGGAACGGGGCGUCAUAGAGGGUGAGAAUCCCGUCUGGGAUCGUCGGCCGUGCCCGUGUGAAGCUCCUUCGACGAGUCGAGUUGUUUGGGAAUGCAGCUCUAAAUGGGUGGUAAAUUUCAUCUAAAGCUAAAUACUGGCCGGAGACCGAUAGCGCACAAGUAGAGUGAUCGAAAGAUGAAAAGCACUUUGAAAAGAGAGUUAAACAGCACGUGAAAUUGUUGAAAGGGAAGCGCUUGCGACCAGACUCGCCCGCGGGGUUCAGCCGGGAUUCGUCCCGGUGUACUUCCCCGCGGUCGGGCCAGCGUCGGUUUGGGCGGCCGGUCAAAGGCCCCGGGAAUGUAUCGCCCUCCGGGGCGUCUUAUAGCCCGGGGUGCAAUGCGGCCUGCCCGGACCGAGGAACGCGCUUCGGCACGGACGCUGGCGUAAUGGUCGUAAGCGGCCCGUCUUGAAACACGGACCAAGGAGUCUAACAUCUACGCGAGUGUUCGGGUGUCAAACCCGUCCGCGCAGUGAAAGCGAACGGAGGUGGGAGCCCUUAAGGGUGCACCAUCGACCGAUCCUGAUGUCUUCGGAUGGAUUUGAGUAAGAGCGUAGCUGUUGGGACCCGAAAGAUGGUGAACUAUGCCUGAAUAGGGCGAAGCCAGAGGAAACUCUGGUGGAGGCUCGCAGCGGUUCUGACGUGCAAAUCGAUCGUCGAAUUUGGGUAUA
This 824-nucleotide ribosomal RNA is filed under the name Penicillago kabunica. RNAcentral's name for it is "partial large subunit ribosomal RNA". It matches the Rfam family "Eukaryotic large subunit ribosomal RNA", at positions 76 to 919 of the family's 3401-position model. The record is from RNAcentral. Lineage: Eukaryota; Fungi; Ascomycota; Eurotiomycetes; Eurotiales; Penicillaginaceae.